RNAcentral lists this ribosomal RNA (253 nucleotides) under uncultured bacterium. RNAcentral describes it as "partial 16S ribosomal RNA". It matches the Rfam family "Bacterial small subunit ribosomal RNA", at positions 524 to 776 of the family's 1533-position model. The record is from RNAcentral.
UACGUAGGUGGCAAGCGUUGUCCGGAUUUACUGGGCGUAAAGAGUGCGUAGGCGGUUUUCUAAGUUUGGUGUGAAAUCUCCCGGCUCAACUGGGAGGGUGCGCCGAAAACUGGGGGGCUAGAGUACUGGAUGGGAGAGUGGAAUUCCUGGUGUAGCGGUGAAAUGCGUAGAUAUCAGGAGGAACACCUGUGGUGUAGACGGCUCUCUGGACAGUAACUGACGCUGAGACACGAAAGCGUGGGUAGCAAACAGG